AGCAACCGCGGUAAUUCCAGCUCCAAUAGCGUAUAUUAAAGUUGUUGCAGUUAAAAAGCUCGUAGUUGAAUUUCGGGAUCAGUUGAUCGGUCGUGCCUCGGUACGUACUGGCAUUAUUGAUUUCUCCUUUCUGAAGAACCAUGAUGUCAUUAAUUUGGUGUCUUGGGGAAUCAGGACCGUUACUUUGAAAAAUUAGAGUGUUUAAAGCAGGCUCACGCUUGAAUACAUUAGUAUGGAAUAAUGAAAUAGGACGUUUGAUUCUAUUUUGUUGGUUUCUAGGAUCGACGUAAUGAUUAAUAGGGAUAGUUGGGGGCAUUAGUAUUCAAUUGUCAGAGGUGAAAUUCUUGGAUUUAUUGAAGACUAACUACUGCGAAAGCAUUUGCCAAGGAUGUUUUCAUUAAUCAAGAACGAAAGUUAGGGGAUCGAAGACGAUCAGAUACCGUCGUAGUC
This 450-nucleotide ribosomal RNA is filed under the name uncultured Glomeromycotina. RNAcentral's name for it is "SSU rRNA". It matches the Rfam family "Eukaryotic small subunit ribosomal RNA", at positions 569 to 1025 of the family's 1831-position model. The record is from RNAcentral. Lineage: Eukaryota; Fungi; Glomeromycota.